Molecule: non-coding RNA, 158 nt
Organism: Nothobranchius furzeri (turquoise killifish)
Lineage: Eukaryota; Metazoa; Chordata; Actinopteri; Cyprinodontiformes; Nothobranchiidae
Source: RefSeq, a predicted model, not a curated record
CCGGCCCACCUGCAGCUCCUCGGUCUCCCUGCUCAGUCAGGCCUGGCAUCCCCUCCCCGAAGAACCUGGAUCAUCCAGGAAACCACCCCCACGGAUCCAUUUCCUGUCCAUCGGAAGCUAUCUCUACCGCACCGUACAAAAUAAACCAUUUUUACUUA